This 252-nucleotide ribosomal RNA is filed under the name uncultured bacterium. RNAcentral's name for it is "partial 16S ribosomal RNA". It matches the Rfam family "Bacterial small subunit ribosomal RNA", at positions 524 to 776 of the family's 1533-position model. The record is from RNAcentral.
UACGUAGGUCCCGAGCGUUGUCCGGAUUUAUUGGGUGUAAAGCGAGCGCAGGUGGUUUAUUAAGUCUGGUGUAAAAGGCAGUGGCUCAACCAUUGUAUGCAUUGGAAACUGGUAGACUUGAGUGCAGGAGAGGUGAGUGGAAUUCCAUGUGUAGCGGUGAAAUGCGUAGAUAUAUGGAGGAACACCGGUGGCGAAAGCGGCUCUCUGGCCUGUAACUGACACUGAGGCUCGAAAGCGUGGGGAGCAAACAGG